RNAcentral lists this ribosomal RNA (253 nucleotides) under uncultured bacterium. Its description in RNAcentral is "partial 16S ribosomal RNA". It matches the Rfam family "Bacterial small subunit ribosomal RNA", at positions 524 to 776 of the family's 1533-position model. The record is from RNAcentral.
UACGUAGGGGGCAAGCGUUGUCCGGAAUCAUUGGGCGUAAAGCGCGUGUAGGCGGUCCGGUAAGUCCGCUGUGAAAGUCGGGGGCUCAACCCUCGGAUGCCGGUGGAUACUGUCGGGCUUGAGUACGGAAGAGGCGAGUGGAAUUCCUGGUGUAGCGGUGAAAUGCGCAGAUAUCAGGAGGAACACCAAUGGCGAAGGCAGCUCGCUGGAACGGUACUGACGCUGAGGCGCGAAAGCGUGGGGAGCGAACAGG